ACGCUAGCUACAGGCUUAACACAUGCAAGUCGAGGGGAAACGACAUCGAGAGCUUGCUUUUGAUGGGCGUCGACCGGCGCACGGGUGAGUAACGCGCAUCCAACCUGCCCACCACUUGGGGAUAACCUUGCGAAAGUAAGACUAAUACCCAAUGACAUCCCACGAAGACAUCUGAAUGGGAUUAAAGAUUUAUCGGUGAUGGAUGGGGAUGCGUCUGAUUAGCUUGUUGGCGGGGUAACGGCCCACCAAGGCAACGAUCAGUAGGGGUUCUGAGAGGAAGGUCCCCCACAUUGGAACUGAGACACGGUCCAAACUCCUACGGGGGGCAGCAGUGAGGAAUAUUGGUCAAUGGGCGAGAGCCUGAACCAGCCAAGUAGCGUGCAGGAUGACGGCCCUAUGGGUUGUAAACUGCUUUUAUAAGGGAAUAAAGUGGGUCACGUGUGACUUUUUGCAUGUACCUUAUGAAUAAGGACCGGCUAAUUCCGUGCCAGCAGCCGCGGCAAUACGGAAGGUCCGGGCGUUAUCCGGAUUUAUUGGGUUUAAAGGGAGCGUAGGCCGGAGAUUAAGCGUGUUGUGAAAUGUAGAGGCUCAACCUCUGCACUGCAGCGCGAACUGGUCUUCUUGAGUACGCACAACGUGGGCGGAAUUCGUGGUGUAGCGGUGAAAUGCUUAGAUAUCACGAAGAACUCCGAUUGCGAAGGCAGCUCACGGGAGCGCAACUGACGCUGAAGCUCGAAAGUGCGGGUAUCGAACAGGAUUAGAUACCCUGGUAGUCCGCACGGUAAACGAUGGAUGCCCGCUGUUGGCCUGAAUAGGUCAGCGGCCAAGCGAAAGCAUUAAGCAUCCCACCUGGGGAGUACGCGCAAACAACGGUGAAAC
Molecule: ribosomal RNA, 879 nt
Filed under: uncultured bacterium
Lineage: Bacteria
Description: bacterial SSU rRNA
Rfam family: Bacterial small subunit ribosomal RNA
Source: RNAcentral